UACGAAGGGGGCUAGCGUUGUUCGGAAUUACUGGGCGUAAAGCGUAUGCAGGCGGAUCGUUAAGUCGGGGGUGAAAUCCCGAGGCUCAACCUCGGAACUGCCUUCGAUACUGGCGACCUUCGAGUCCGGGAGAGGUGAGUGGAACUCCGAGUGUAGAGGUGAAAUUCGUAGAUAUUCGGAGGAACACCGGUGGCGAAGGCGGUUCUCUGGGCAUUACCUGACGCUGAGGAGCGAAAGUGUGGGGAGCGAACAGG
RNAcentral lists this ribosomal RNA (254 nucleotides) under uncultured bacterium. RNAcentral describes it as "partial 16S ribosomal RNA". It matches the Rfam family "Bacterial small subunit ribosomal RNA", at positions 524 to 776 of the family's 1533-position model. The record is from RNAcentral.